GACGAACGCUGGCGGCGUGCUUAACACAUGCAAGUCGAACGGAAAGGCCCCUUUGGGGGUCCUCGAGUGGCGAACGGGUGAGUAACACGUGAGUAACCUGCCCUUGACUUCGGGAUAACUUCAGGAAACUGGGGCUAAUACCGGAUAGGAAUCCUUGCUGCAUGGUGGGGGUUGGAAAGCUUCGGCGGUUUUGGAUGGACUCGCGGCUUAUCAGCUUGUUGGUGGGGUAGUGGCUUACCAAGGCUUUGACGGGUAGCCGGCCUGAGAGGGCGACCGGCCACAUUGGGACUGAGAUACGGCCCAGACUCCUACGGGAGGCAGCAGUGGGGAAGAUUGCACAAGGGGCGGAAGCCUGAUGCAGCAACGCCGCGUGCGGGAUGACGGCCUUCGGGUUGUAAACCGCUUUCAGCAGGGGCGAAGCUUGUGGUGACGGUACCUGCAGAAGAAGCACCGGCUAACUACGUG
RNAcentral lists this ribosomal RNA (465 nucleotides) under uncultured bacterium. Its description in RNAcentral is "partial 16S ribosomal RNA". It matches the Rfam family "Bacterial small subunit ribosomal RNA", at positions 28 to 507 of the family's 1533-position model. The record is from RNAcentral.